UACGUAGGGGGCAAGCGUUGUUCGGAUUUACUGGGCGUAAAGAGCUCGUAGGCGGCUGUUCAAGUCGAACGUGAAAACUCGGAGCUCAACUCCGAGCCUGCGUUCGAUACUGGACGGCUAGAGUGCUGUAGGGGAGACUGGAAUUCCUGGUGUAGCGGUGAAAUGCGCAGAUAUCAGGAGGAACACCGGUGGCGAAGGCGGGUCUCUGGGCAGUAACUGACGCUGAGGAGCGAAAGCGUGGGGAGCGAACAGG
This 253-nucleotide ribosomal RNA is filed under the name uncultured bacterium. RNAcentral describes it as "partial 16S ribosomal RNA". It matches the Rfam family "Bacterial small subunit ribosomal RNA", at positions 524 to 776 of the family's 1533-position model. The record is from RNAcentral.